UAGCUUAUUGAAUUUUUUAUAAGUAUUUUCUGCCCGGUGAUUUUUAUUUAACGGCCGCGGUAUUCUGACCGUGCAAAGGUAGCAUAAUCAUUUGUUCUUUAAUUGGGGACUUGAAUGAAUGAAGUGACGAAGAAACUCUUGUCUCUUUUUAGUCUCUUGAAUUUUCUUUUUAAGUGAAGAAGCUUAAAUAAAUUAAAAAGACGAGAAGACCCUAUUGAGUUUUAUUUUUAUUUUAUAAUUUUUUAUUAAAAAAAAAUUUGAUUGGGGCAAUCGAGGAGGCUAAUAAUUCUCUUUUUUUUUAUUUUGUUCCACUAUUAGUGAUCAAAAGAAUAAAUUACCAUAGGGAUAACAGCGUAAUUUUUUUGGAGAGUCCUUAUUGAUAAAAAAGAUUGCGACCUCGAUGUUGGAUUAAUAUUUCCUAAUGGUGUAGUAGCUGUUUUGGUGGGUCUGUUCGACCCUUAAAAUUUU
RNAcentral lists this ribosomal RNA (468 nucleotides) under Tubulanus tamias. Its description in RNAcentral is "partial 16S ribosomal RNA". It matches the Rfam family "Bacterial large subunit ribosomal RNA", at positions 1830 to 2597 of the family's 2925-position model. Lineage: Eukaryota; Metazoa; Nemertea; Palaeonemertea; Tubulaniformes; Tubulanidae. The record is from RNAcentral.